AGCUGCAUGCCCAACAGCAGUAACCUGCAGGAGAUAAAUUAUCCUUUCAAUCCACUAGAAGAUGUAAAUCAUAACUAUACGAUGAAGCACUGAAAUAUGUUUUUAAGAUUUUAUGAAUGCAUAUGUGAAACCAUUUGGAUGAUCUUCAUCUAAUCCACUUACUUUCCCUUCACAAUAGUAAGUUGCAUUACAAUGGAAGAAGCCCAGUGGCCAAAUGCCUGCCUUAUAGUGCAGGAGGUUAGUGAUAACCUUGGCAACUUCAGAAAGCUAGCUAUUGAUACGAACUUAGGAGAACCAUACCCCAAAAGCUAGCUAUUGAGGUUGAGGAGGGAUACAAGUUUUCUUGCAAUGGGAUCGUAACAUUCCACCACACUCCGCAGCCCUGGCGCCUACACAGGCUGGCUUUGUGCUAGUUUAAUCUAGCCCUAGGCGAACACUUAUUCUGGCAUCACCACCUGCGCCGCACGAUUGCAACUGGGAGUCAUAGUGGACGGCUCUAAUACCAUUGAUACAAACUUAGGAGAACCACAUCCCAAAAGCUAGCCAUUGAGGUUGGAGAGCCAACUCCAUAUAUACACCAC
This 581-nucleotide unclassified non-coding RNA is filed under the name Hevea brasiliensis (rubber tree). The record is from RNAcentral. Lineage: Eukaryota; Viridiplantae; Streptophyta; Magnoliopsida; Malpighiales; Euphorbiaceae.